Molecule: long non-coding RNA, 894 nt
Filed under: Ananas comosus (pineapple)
Lineage: Eukaryota; Viridiplantae; Streptophyta; Magnoliopsida; Poales; Bromeliaceae
Description: long non-coding RNA (ACOM_LNC020597)
Source: RNAcentral
AUGUUAAUGGGUAUGAAUACCUAAAAUAUUAUUCGAAUCCGAAUCCGAAUGGAGCGGGUUUAUCGGACCUAAAUGGAUAUGGAUUCGAUUAUGGGUAUAGAAAAUAAAAACCCAACUGAUAUGAAUGCCGGUAUGGAUUUUAUAUUUACCCGACCCGAGCCCGAACCCGAAUAAAUUAUAUAUAUAUAUAUUAGUUAUUUAUUUAUACAAUACAUAAUAUAUGUAUUGUUAUAUUUAAUUAUUUGAAUUUGUGUUUUUCUUAUUCAGAUAUUAAUAUUGUAUGGCAUGAAUGUUUAAUGUUGUAUUUGAUUGUAUUUUGAAAUUUUUGAUUUUAUUAUAAUAUAUUUUGUAAUAUGUAAAGAUAAAUUAUUAUUUCGGGUUCAGAUUUUCGGAUUCGGGUUUGGAUUUGGGUUUCGGAUUUAUGGUCGGGUCGGAUAUGCGUAUGGAUUUUUAAAACCUGGCCGGUUCUGGUCUGAGUUCGGGUUUCAAUUUGAUUUUUGGAUUCAAGUUCGAAUUUUUAAAAAUCCGAUCCAAACCCGAUCCGUUGACAUCCCUAAUUUAAAGAUGCAUAUAGUUUUUGUUUGAUUUUGUACCCGUAGCCGUUCUUUUUUUGGUUUGUAGCUUAAGAUUUUUUUAUUUACAUUGAGUAAUUUGAUUCUCGGUCGAAUAUUGUAUUUAAAAUUGCAGAAAAAUAUUAAUAGCCAAAUCAAAGUACAAAAACCACAUAGAUCUUUUCAUACCUCUUUUGUUGCGGAAUUAUAUUACGAUUAUCAGGAUCUGAACUCGUCUUCUUUUACGAAUCCUUUAAUCCGUCAACAAUCUGUCUCGAUUUCUCGCACGCUGUUUUUUCUCGUUGCUAAUCGGCUAUCAGAGUCGAUUGUAGCACACCUCCUA